This 305-nucleotide ribosomal RNA is filed under the name uncultured bacterium. Its description in RNAcentral is "bacterial SSU rRNA". It matches the Rfam family "Bacterial small subunit ribosomal RNA", at positions 333 to 655 of the family's 1533-position model. The record is from RNAcentral.
GAGCGCCUACGGGACGCAGCAGUAGGGAAUAUUGCUCAAUGGGGGAAACCCUGAAGCAGCAACGCCGCGUGGAGGAUGAAGGUUUUAGGAUUGCAAACUCCUUUUGUUAGAGAAGGUUAUGACGGUAUCUAACGAAUAAGCACCGGCUAACUCCGUGCCAGCAGCCGCGGUAAUACGGAGGGUGCAAGCGUUACUCGGAAUCACUGGGCGUAAAGAGUGCGGAGGCGGGGUAAUAAGUCAAAUGUGAAAUCCUGUAGCUUAACUACAGAACUGCCUUUGAAACUGUUACUCUGGAGUGUGGGAGG